RNAcentral lists this ribosomal RNA (455 nucleotides) under uncultured bacterium. RNAcentral's name for it is "bacterial SSU rRNA". It matches the Rfam family "Bacterial small subunit ribosomal RNA", at positions 32 to 507 of the family's 1533-position model. The record is from RNAcentral.
GACAACGCUGGCGGCGUGCUUAACACAUGCAAGUCGAACGGGAGUAUUGAAGAAGCUUGCUUUAGAGAUACUUUAGUGGCGGACGGGUGAGUAACGCGUGAGGAGCUGUCCUAUGCAGGGGGACAACAGCUGGAAACGGCUGCUAAUACCCCAUAAGCCGAGAGGUAAAAGGAUCAAUCCGGCAGAGGAGGUACUCGCGUCCUAUCAGCUAGUAGGUGAGGUAACGGCUCACCUAGGCGAAGACGGGUAGCCGGCCUGAGAGGGCGAACGGCCACACUGGAACUGAGAUACGGUCCAGACUCCUACGGGAGGCAGCAGUGGGGAAUAUUGGGCAAUGGGGGAAACCCUGACCCAGCGACGCCGCGUGGGUGAAGAAAUCCUUCGGGAUGUAAAGCCCUGUUGUAUGGGAAGAGCGGAAGACGGUACCAUACGAGGAAGCCCCGGCAAACUACGUG